CGUAGGUGGCGAGCGUUAUCCGGAAUGAUUGGGCGUAAAGGGUGCGCAGGCGGCAUAUCAAGUCUGAAGUGAAAGGUACGGGCUCAACCUGUACAGGCUUUGGAAACUGGUAUGCUCGAGGACAGGAGAGGGCGGUGGAACGUCCACCGUGUAGCGGUAAAUAGCGUAGAGAUGUGGAGAACACCAGUGGCGAAGGCGGCGCCUGGCCUGUAACUGACGCUCAGGCACGAAAGACGUGGGGGAGCAAUAGGAUU
RNAcentral lists this ribosomal RNA (254 nucleotides) under uncultured bacterium. RNAcentral's name for it is "partial 16S ribosomal RNA". It matches the Rfam family "Bacterial small subunit ribosomal RNA", at positions 526 to 779 of the family's 1533-position model. The record is from RNAcentral.